This 844-nucleotide long non-coding RNA is filed under the name Pan troglodytes (chimpanzee). RNAcentral describes it as "long non-coding RNA NONPTRT014873". Lineage: Eukaryota; Metazoa; Chordata; Mammalia; Primates; Hominidae. The record is from RNAcentral.
AAAUCCCACUUGGUCAUGAUGAAUUAUCUUUUUAAUAUAUUGUUGAAUUCAGGUUGCUGGUAUUUUCUUGAGGAUUUUUGCAUCAGUGUUCAUCAGAGGUCUUGGCCUAUAGUUUUCUUUUUUUGCUGUGUCUUUGUCCUGUUUUGGUAUCAGGGUAAUAUUGGCCUCAUAGAAUGAGUUUGAUAGUAUUCCCUACUCCUCUAUUUUUCAGAAUAGUUUUAGUAGGAUUGGCAUUAGUUCUUCUUUCAAUGUUUGGUAAAAUUCAGUAAUGAAGCCACUAGGUCCUGGGCUUUUCUUUACCGGGAGAACUUUAUUCUGGCUUCUGUCUCAUUAUCUGUUAUUGGUUUGUUAAGGUUUUGGAUUUCUUCAUGGUUCAAUCUUGGUAGGUUGUAUGUGUCCAAGAAUUGUCAAUCUCCUCUAGAUUUUCCUAUUUCUUGGCAUAUAGCUGCUCAUAGUAGCCACUAAUUAUCCUUUGAAUUUCUGUAGUAUCAGUUCUAAUGUCUUCUUUUUCAUUAUUGACUUUUAUUUAUUUGGAUCUUCCCUCUUUUUUUCUUAGUUAGUCUGGCUAAAGGUUUGUCAAUUUUGUUUAUCUUUUCAAAAAUCUCAUUUUUUGUUUUGUUCAUCUUUUUGUAUUGUUUUUUACAUUUCAGUUUCAUUUAUUUCUGCCCUGAUUUUUAUUAUUUCUUUUCUUCUACUAAUUUUAUCUUCAGUUUGUUUUUGCUUUUAGUACUGCUUUGGCUAUAUCCCACAGGUUUUGGUAUGUUGUGUUUCCAUUAUCAUUUGUUUCAAGAAUUUUUUCAAUCUCCUCCUUAAUUUCUUCAUUAACUCAUUGGUCAUUCAGGAA